This is a long non-coding RNA of Cygnus olor (mute swan), 1059 nucleotides long. RefSeq lists it as uncharacterized. The record is from RefSeq and is a predicted model, not a curated record. The transcript has 3 exons. NCBI's taxonomy places the organism in Eukaryota, Metazoa, Chordata, Aves, Anseriformes, Anatidae.
UCUAGCUGGUUGAAUGACAUUCAACUCUAUCAAAUCUCUAUUGAAUCCUCCAUAGAACACUCCAGAUGUUCUUCACCUUUAUGUAACACACACUUUUCCAGCUGUUCAUUAUUGGUCUUCAUGACUUCAUUUUGACAACUACACAUAAAGUAAAGAGCACUUCGGGGGGAUGCUUAAUGUAAAACUACAGCAGUCAUAUACUUGAUGCGUUAUGGGAUAUUUAGAUAGCAUUUGUUUAUCUGGUACAUCACUGUGGGUGGGAUUCAUCUCACCUAACUUCAGACACCUAUACUGUCAGCUAGUCAUCCCAUGGUCUUCUGGAGACUGAUAAGCAUAUUUAGGACAUCAAUCAAUUGACAAAAUUCUACUUUAGGAGGAGAUGAACCAUGCCCCAAAAAUUCCUAUCCUAUGCACUCACUGAUUAUAAAGCCUAAGGUGAUUAACACAGAUGCAGAUGUCGGAUUUGUAAACAUCUACAUUUCAUAUUUGUGUCUUGUGGAGUUAUAAGAAAUUCUUAAGCUCCUGUGCAGAUAUUUUGGGAUUAGUGUGUCUGGAGUGCGAAAUGAUGCUGACAUAAGGAAGAAAAAGAGCGGCACAAUCUGAGCAGUGGUGGUACUCAAAAAAUUUGGGGGGCAUGUAUUUUGCUAAAGUAAUUUCAGAUAUGUUCUAAAGCUGGCAUUUGUCCUUAGGGAAGUGAAGAACAUCUGUUACAUUUACAUGUGGCAGUGCAACUACACCACUGUUUGACUGGGACAAGACAUUUCUGAGUGAGGAGAGGAGUAAGGAGGAGGAGUUACAGGAACCUACCUCUUCCUGCUGUGCAGGCCAAAACCCUCAAGGCUAAGCGUCUUGAGAGAGCUGGCAUCAAAGUCCUACAUCACUUGGCCAGCUGAGAACAUCAACCAAAGCUCAGCAGCAAGACUGACAACUGCAGCACAGAUCCUCUGAGAAGGCUGUUGUUAAUAUAGUUGCUUCAGAGGACUUAUGACUUCACUGGCUGUACAAAGACGAGGACAAAGACAAGUCAAGAGGAAGGAAAACAUUUACAACAUAAUGAGA